This 447-nucleotide ribosomal RNA is filed under the name uncultured bacterium. RNAcentral describes it as "bacterial SSU rRNA". It matches the Rfam family "Bacterial small subunit ribosomal RNA", at positions 329 to 792 of the family's 1533-position model. The record is from RNAcentral.
CUCCAGACUCCUACGGGAGGCAGCAGUGGGGGAUAUUGCACAAUGGGGGAAACCCUGAUGCAGCGACGCCGCGUGUGGGAAGACGGUCCUCUGGAUUGUAAACCACUGUCCCCAGGGACGAAGAUGACGGUACCUGACUAAGAAGCCCCGGCUAACUACGUGCCAGCAGCCGCGGUAAUACGUAGGGGGCAAGCGUUAUCCGGAUUUACUGGGUGUAAAGGGAGCGUAGACGGUUAUGCAAGUCUGAAGUGAAAGCCCAAGGCUCAACCAUGGGACUGCUUUGGAAACUGUAAAACUGGAGUGCAGGAGAGGUAAGCGGAAUUCCUAGUGUAGCGGUGAAAUGCGUAGAUAUUAGGAGGAACACCAGUGGCGAAGGCGGCCUGCUGGACGAUGACUGACGUUGAGGCUCGAAAGCGUGGGGAGCAAACAGGAUUAGAUACCCUGGUA